This 1633-nucleotide long non-coding RNA is filed under the name Olea europaea subsp. europaea. The record is from RNAcentral. Lineage: Eukaryota; Viridiplantae; Streptophyta; Magnoliopsida; Lamiales; Oleaceae.
ACGUAUUUUAAUACUUUGAAAACGUCUUACAAUUACAUCAUUAUCAUUAUGAUUAAAUGAAUAUACAAGGCUUGUUCAAAAUAGACAGAUAUGUUAGGCAGCCACGCAGCCCACGCCACAAACUCGAAGUUAUUUCAAUGCAACCUGCUUUUGAAAAACUGAUAGUCUAGGCUUGCUUUUGGCAUGAACUCAAAUACCAAAAGCAGGUGGUCACCCUCGUCCCAGUGAACAAUAAAUUUAACCGGGCUUCGGUGACGACGUUGCGGCGGAAAAUUCACUUCCAUAUUUCCAUCUGCAAAACUUCGGGUGGAUACCAAAUCAGUUUAUUGGAAAGUUCAGAAUGAAGUCGCAAGACUCUCAAGUACGACGCCAAAGAAGCUACCAACCAUUCCUUGAACGCUGGCGUUCCAUUGGGAUUCGACUUUUUGAUGGCAAACUGUCAUUUCCAAGCCUGGCUUCUUUAGCAGUGAGUGUGAUCAUUGAUCUAUCCAUCGAAAAUAUGACCAAGGCCAGGCCUCCUUAUCUAAAAUGCUGUCAGCCCAAAAAUUUAUGGUUGCGUUCUUUAUUUCUUCGAAUGAAAUGGGCAUAGCAUUAGGCAUCCGCAGACUGCUAUAUUUCAACUAGGAGGACUCACCACUGCUAUCUCUACUAUAAAACGGAAUGCUAGGGCCGGAAGCGCAGAAGGAUGGAUUUACUGAGAAUUCUUGAAGAAUAUGAAGUUUUACAAGAAAAUGGAGGAAAAGAUACAAGGUUGUUUCAUAUUAACUGAUGCAAGUUUCAAAUGACAGCAACAUACAAAUGAAUUUAUGGGGUUGACAUGCAUAAAAAAUAAAAAAAUAAAAAUUCAUAUUUAGCCCCAAUUGGUAGCAAUUUUUCACCCAAAAAAAUCAAAUUUUCGACGGUUAUUUCACUAUUCCAGCUGUUAUUUUUUACUUCUUCACUCACGGGUAGAACUCAAUUUUCUCUUCAACGGUCAAAAAAUUAAAUUCUCAUAAUCACUACCAAACAAAUCCUUAAUACUUCUAUGCAUAUCCACAUAGUAAAAGAUAAACAGGAUCACCUCUCAAAAGAGAUGUGGCCACCAAAGAAUCAAAUGAGCAUAAGCACAAUGUUUGAAAUGAAGGAUCACCAUUUUAUCAUCAAGAACAUUCAGUGUUCCCUGGGACUGCUUUUAUACUCACAAGGGAAAUACAUCUGGUCCAAAAUCCAAGCAACCUGUUACAUAUUUUUUUCAGAUACAAAGAGUAAUGUCAUCUCCAACAAUUACACCAAAUGAAUAGUAUUUCCUAUAUUUUUUUAUUUUAUUUCUUCACAAUUAAUUUAUUUCAAAAUUAUUUGAUUACAAAUUAUAUCAUUAAUGAAAAUAUUAAAUUAAAAAUUACAUUUAAUGUAUCAAAAUAUUGUAUUUUAACUAAAACCACAGUUAAAAAAAAUUACAUUUAACGCAAGAAAAAUACACAUAAUAAAAAUCCAACUAAUUUUGUCACUUAAUUCUUGGAGGAUCUAGAAAUGAUCUUCCUAAAUACUAAAUUAUUGUUUUAGUUUAAUAUUGUAUUUUACUUUAAAAUUUAUCUUUCAAAAAUAAUGUUGUUCCAGUGCUAAUUUCUUUUUAAUUUCUACCUAUGAAACUUAU